ACGAAUGCAAAUACAUAUUCAUGCCGGUGUGUAGUACCAAUCAACGCCAUUUUGUCUUGUUCCUAUUCGCAGUUGAAGAUUGGAUGGUUACCAUAAUUGACCCGCACUACAAUGACACUAAGUAUAUUAAGUUACAUGAAAUGUACUCAGAAUUCGUUAAAGUUGCGGUAUGUUUAGUUUUAAAAUAUUUUAAUUUUAUAAUGUCCUUUAAUAUUAAAAAAUUAUUAACCAACUACUUUGUACAUGCAGGUACAUUUGAUACCAUUUUGUUUGCGAAAUGGUAAUCCGAUGCGUGAGUGGCCCAGCGGUAAUCCUACUGUGCAGACCUUAAAG
RNAcentral lists this long non-coding RNA (333 nucleotides) under Panax ginseng (ginseng). Its description in RNAcentral is "long non-coding RNA (PGIN_LNC015205)". The record is from RNAcentral. Lineage: Eukaryota; Viridiplantae; Streptophyta; Magnoliopsida; Apiales; Araliaceae.